RNAcentral lists this transfer RNA (53 nucleotides) under Nothopoda sp. RNAcentral's name for it is "tRNA-His". Lineage: Eukaryota; Metazoa; Arthropoda; Arachnida; Trombidiformes; Eriophyidae. The record is from RNAcentral.
CUUAUAUAGUUAAUUAUUAAUAUUAGAUUGUGGUUCUAAAGGUUUUUAAGCUA